This 497-nucleotide ribosomal RNA is filed under the name uncultured bacterium. Its description in RNAcentral is "partial 16S ribosomal RNA". It matches the Rfam family "Bacterial small subunit ribosomal RNA", at positions 28 to 507 of the family's 1533-position model. The record is from RNAcentral.
GAUGAACGCUGGCGGCGUGCCUAAUACAUGCAAGUCGAGCGAUCAGACGAGGAGCUUGCUCCUCUGACGUUAGCGGCGGACGGGUGAGUAACACGUGGAUAACCUACCUAUAAGACUGGGAUAACUUCGGGAAACCGGAGCUAAUACCGGAUAAUAUAUUGAACCGCAUGGUUCAAUAGUGAAAGACGGUUUUGCUGUCACUUAUAGAUGGAUCCGCGCCGCAUUAGCUAGUUGGUAAGGUAACGGCUUACCAAGGCAACGAUGCGUAGCCGACCUGAGAGAGUGAUCGGCCACACUGGAACUGAGACACGGUCCAGACUCCUACGGGAGGCAGCAGUAGGGAAUCUUCCGCAAUGGGCGAAAGCCUGACGGAGCAACGCCGCGUGAGUGAUGAAGGUCUUCGGAUCGUAAAACUCUGUUAUUAGGGAAGAACAAAUGUGUAAGUAACUAUGCACGUCUUGACGGUACCUAAUCAGAAAGCCACGGCUAACUACGUG